GCCAGGUAUGAUAGUACAUGCCUGCGGUCUCAGCUACAUGGGGGGCUGAGGCGGGAGGAUCAGUUUAGCCUGGGAGUUCUGGACUAUAGUUCACUAUGCCAACUAGGUAUUCACACUAGGUUCAACAUCAGUAUGGUGACCUCCUGGGAGCAGGGAACCACCAGGUUGCCCAAGGACGGGUGAAUGGGUUCAGGUCAGAAACAGAACAGUCAAAGCUCCUAUGCUGAUCAGCAAUGGCAUUCUGCCUGUGAAUAGCGACUGCACUCUGCCUGGGCAACAUAGCAAGACCUCAUCUCUA
Molecule: unclassified non-coding RNA, 298 nt
Organism: Pongo abelii (Sumatran orangutan)
Lineage: Eukaryota; Metazoa; Chordata; Mammalia; Primates; Hominidae
Rfam family: Metazoan signal recognition particle RNA
About the family: The signal recognition particle (SRP) is a universally conserved ribonucleoprotein. It is involved in the co-translational targeting of proteins to membranes.
Source: Ensembl